Regulatory RNA element from Terrisporobacter sp., 228 nucleotides. It matches the Rfam family "T-box leader". From Rfam's summary of the family: Uncharged tRNA acts as the effector for transcription antitermination of genes in the T-box leader family. NCBI's taxonomy places the organism in Bacteria, Bacillati, Bacillota, Clostridia, Peptostreptococcales, Peptostreptococcaceae. The record is from Rfam.
UUAAAGGCAAUGAAUAGGAAGAGUAAAUCUAAUUCGAUUAUCAGAGAGAAAAACUCAUGGGCUGAAAAGUUUUUCAAAUUAGAGGGAUUGAAAACUACCUAGGAGCUGUAAUCUGAAGUAAUCUCAUUGAUUUUAGUAAGAUUAACCGUAAGCUGCGUUAAAGUUUAAAGUGAGUUUUAUUAUGUAUAAAACUAAAUUGGGUGGAACCGCGAGAGACUCGUCCCUUUA